UUGUACUUGAAUCCAGUCUCCAAAAGCUUUUUUGGUGAAAGGCUAGGUAUUUUAACUUCUUCACUUCUUGUCCCUCUGCACCUGCAAAAAAAAAGUACUUCAAUUAUUUUCGUCCGCUAAGGUCUUGCUAAUUGUGUAAGAUCCUCCAGAAGGCUUUAAGGUUCUCACAAGAUCCACGUUGGUCCAUGAAUUUUCAUCUAUUAUACUUUGAAGUAUCAACCAUAACAGUAGAUGCACUAGAAAUGUACACAACAUGUUUAAUUGUCUUUGAAUUCAGACACGCCUGUAAAUUACCAAAAGUCCCAUUAAUCUAUUGUUGUGUUAUUGUUUCUUCACUCACUUUGUUCCCAAAAUUAAUUUGAUGUGCAGCACGAGAAACACCAAUGCAGCCUUCAAUUGGUGGAUUGAAACUCUCUGGUUUGUCUAGAUCAGCUUUAAAAAUACGCAGCCUUUCUUGUGCACCUGGAAGAUUUGUGAGGUAGCUCACAUUCCUCUUGCGAUCUAGAGUCAGUGGAUUCAAUAUUUUCAUCUUCAUUAGCUUGAAUGUAUUUCUUAAUCAAAUAAAAGACUAACUAAUGCAACUUCAACUGGACAAUCACAUAAAACAAUUAAAUGAAUACAAAUUUAAGAGGACUGGGCUUAAAAUUUUGAAGACUAUAAAUUACACAUUUUAAGGAGAGUUAAGUGUAGAUAUCAUUUCGAUGAUCUAUAGCAUGUUUGGUCAAGCUGAAAAAAUCAGCUUAUUUCAAAAGUAAUUUUCGAAAAAUUCUUUUAAAGAAAAGCAGUUUAUUUAUAGAAAAACACUUUUGAACAAUGAUUUGUGUUUGACCAAGCUUUUCAAAAAGUGCUUUUAAGUGUCAAAUACAAAUAUGGACAUGAAGAGAUUUACUUAAUAGUUAAUAUUAUAUAAGUAGAUAAAUAAUUACAAAUAUUUAUUUUUCAAGACAAUAAUUAAGUUUUUAUUUUAUUUAAGUAAAAUAUAAAAUUAAAAUUGAAAAGUACUUUAGUCAUUCAAGAUAAUUUAAGUAUAUCAAAAAAUAUUCAAUAAUUAUGAAAGUUCAUCCCGAAAGUUAUUUUAUAUUACUUUACAGCUUAAACUAAUUAAGGUUAUUUUGAUAUAUAUAAUAUUUUGCAAAGGGUAUGUUUGUAAGGAAGAAAAGGCAAAACUACCUCUGCUUUUGCUUCUGGAGAGAAGUUACUUUUUUCUUCUUCUUUAAAUUUACUUCUAGCCAAAAGCACAUUGUUUAAAAAAAACAAUCUUGGCAAAAUACCUCAAUUGAGUAUUUAUUUUUGAAAAAAUAAAUAAAAUACUUUUGACAUGGUUAGAAGCUUGGCCAAACAAACUACAAGUACUGAUACAAAAGAAAUCUUUAUACUAACAAUGAUCUCAUGAGAAAUUACCUGAAUAUCGAGGAAGAGGAAGGGCAUAUACCGAUGGUAGAGGGAAUAAUAUUCUCGCCAAAUUAUAAGUUGAUUUUAUUAUUAUUGUAAUUGUAUAAAAAUAAAUAUAACCAUUAUUUAAAACUAAAAUGCAAAUGUAAGAAACAAGAUGGUAUUUAUUUGAAUGAAAUAAAAAAUGAAAAGUAACUAGAAGAAAACAAUAUAAUAUACAAGAGAAGAAAAAAAAUAUUAUUUUUUGAUGUAAAAGAUAAUAUAAUGGUGGAAGUAAAUAUGGUGUUAUACUAUUUUGGUGUAAAUUUUGGAGAUGGCCUAACUAUUGAAUUCUCUAUGCAGCGUGAAAUUCAUUAAUCGUUGAAACGAAGCCAAAGCAUCUUCGUGGCACCAUCUCAGCACUUAAAGCCUCAAAGCAGUGGGAGCCCCAAAUGUUGUCAAGUGAUCACAUUAAUCUCUGUUGCAUCUGGCAUUGGACUUGAGGUCACGAUCUCUAAUUUUUAAAUUCACUUUCAUUUAGUACUUGAAAUAUUCCUUUUUUGUUCAAGUCCUAAUUUUGUGUAAUGCUAGAGAGUUGUUUGAUGAAAUGCCACAACUAGAUUUGUCGGUCGUAGAAUGCUGUGAAGUUUGAAUUAACAAAGGUUUGAAUUCUGUGAAUUGUUCAUGGAGGUGGAAGCUCCAGUAAAUUUUCACACUUGCUCUUUUGGCUCUAUCCAUAGAAAUGCAUUUGCUGGACAACCACUGAUAUGUUUAAGAGUAAUAAAUGUAAGAUUCCAAUUAUUCGGGUGAAUAAGAACAUUGAAACAAAGGGAUUAGAGUAUGCCUCUUUGUUUGCAACACUCAAUUGCUCCAUUAAACAUUUCUUCAAGACCAUACGUGUACUUGAAUCCAGUCUCCAAAAGCUUUUUUGGUGAAAGGUUAGGUAUUUUAAGUUCUUCACUGCUUGUCCCUCUGUACCUGCACAAAAAAACAGUACUUCAAUUAUUUUCUUUCGCUGUCUCAAAUUAAACGUUUUAAUUUGCCUAGAUAUAAUAUAAGCAACUAAAAUGUGCAUUGCUUAGCUUGCAAGAUUGAGCAACAUCACAUGCUCUUUGGCUAAUCAAAUUAAGAAAAAUUAUUUUUAAUAUAAUUUGCUUAGGUCAUAUGUUAACCUUUUACCAGAGUAUAUUAU
Molecule: long non-coding RNA, 2563 nt
Filed under: Nicotiana benthamiana
Lineage: Eukaryota; Viridiplantae; Streptophyta; Magnoliopsida; Solanales; Solanaceae
Description: long non-coding RNA (NBEN_LNC016662)
Source: RNAcentral